This 356-nucleotide long non-coding RNA is filed under the name Capra hircus (goat). RNAcentral's name for it is "lncRNA (ENSCHIG00010030873.1)". Lineage: Eukaryota; Metazoa; Chordata; Mammalia; Artiodactyla; Bovidae. The record is from RNAcentral.
CUGCCAAGGCCUGAGUGCUGAGAAGGCUGUCUCCAUUUCUCCUCGCCUCCAUUCAGUAAGCGGUGGCUCAUCCCCUAAUGCAAUAAGCCUGGACCACAAAAUCUAAAGAAUAGGAGUGAUCACCAAGCCCCCUUGUCACCUCCUUUCCGGGAGACUGAAGCUGAUGGCAGAUGAUGGCAGCACCCUGGACCCAGAGCUUCCAGCUUGGCUGUGCUAGGGAGUGAGUGAGGAUGUGAGGUCUCCCUCACGGCCUGUCCACCCUGGGCAGGCAGAUUCUUUACCACUUUACCGCUAGUGCCACCCGGGAAGCCCCUCUGAGACUUAAAUGUGCACAUAAAUAUAGAAAAUACACAUCU